Molecule: long non-coding RNA, 807 nt
Organism: Elgaria multicarinata webbii
Lineage: Eukaryota; Metazoa; Chordata; Lepidosauria; Squamata; Anguidae
Exons: 2
Source: RefSeq, a predicted model, not a curated record
GCAAACUACAGCAACAGCUUCGCUUCCUUAUGCAGUGGCAGGACUUGAGACUAUGGCUGCUGGACCUGCUUACUUUGAAGAGGAAGAUCAGAGAAGGUAGCAUCAAGUUCAAGAGGUCACCAGCAUGAUUAACGAGCAGAGUCAAGGAAGCGAUGGGGGAAAAGGAGGCUUCCUUCAGAAAACGGAUGUCUUGCCCAAAUGAGGAGAACAAAAAGGAACACAAAAAGGAGCACAAAGGACAUGGAAGGAAGGAUUUUGAGGAGCACGUUUCUGAUAUUAUUAAGACCAACAAUAAAAAAUAUAUAUCUUUCAAUGCAUCAGAAGCAGGAAACUCUCUAGGGAGGCUGUAGGACCUCUCUCUCUUUGGCAGGAGGGAGGGUGGGACAGCCUGCUACCCUCCAGAUGUUUGGCACUGGAGCCCAACAACAUCUGGAGAGCUGCCACCCUCAUAAAAAGACACGUUUAAAUCUUUACCCAUUGAUGCAUUUUGCUUUGUGACUUUUUGACCUAAGCAACCUUCUUUCCAGAUGAAGUUCUGACCAAAGCGAUUUAUGAUUGAACCCAAACUGGGCACAUAAAAGAAAAGAAAAUAAUUUUAAAGGAAAGGUGAGAAAAUCGCCUGAAGAACUGAAGGCAGUAAUGUUAAGUAUCAGCUUUCAAGUUUCAGUAGUUUCCACGCCUUGUUAUUUUCUUUUGAAAAUGUACAUUUAAAAAAAGAUUCUAAAUUAGCAAGCUGGGAAAUUUGAGAGGUGGGGGUGGGAAAUUCUACUGAAAUGUAUUUGUCAUUAAUUAAUAUCUCCUUUCUGA